GGGUCUGUAGUCUAGCUUGGUAAGAGAAGACAAACCUACGGUUUUUCUUCCUCUACCAUCUUUUCCGUUCAAAGAAAAGAUUAGUAAGAAAACCAUGGAGUGUCCCUUCCAAAAGGACCCAGCCUUGGGGUGGCUGAAACCUGAGUUCAAAAUCAGGACGGAGGUUGCGAUACCUCCUCUGAUGAAUAUCUCAGCGGACCCA
Molecule: transfer RNA, 202 nt
Filed under: Candidatus Aenigmatarchaeota archaeon
Lineage: Archaea; Nanobdellati; Candidatus Aenigmatarchaeota
Description: tRNA-Pro
Source: RNAcentral